AAAACCUUUGACUGUUGCUUCUGGGAACACAGUUUUGUACUCCAAAUACGCUGGUAAUGACUUCAAGGGCAAAGAUGGUUUUGAGUACAUAACCUUGAGGAGUUCAGAUGUCAUGGCUGUACUCUCUUAGGAAUCCAAUUGUAAGACGAACACAAAAUCUCUUAGGAAUCCAAUUGUAAGAUGAACACAAAAUUUUCGCCUUGUUUUGAUUACCAAGUGAUUCCUAACGGGAACUGGGUUUUCAAGCAUCUGGUUGUUGCGUUAGUG
This 267-nucleotide long non-coding RNA is filed under the name Medicago truncatula (barrel medic). RNAcentral's name for it is "long non-coding RNA (MTRU_LNC008370)". The record is from RNAcentral. Lineage: Eukaryota; Viridiplantae; Streptophyta; Magnoliopsida; Fabales; Fabaceae.